CCAAAGUGCUGGGAUUACAGGCGUGAGCCACCGCACCUGGCCUAGUUUUAGAUUUAAAUCGCUAGUUGAUAUUGUUCCUUUCAGCUCAUCAGUUGAAAUGGUAGUUGUGUAGAAAAGUUAAUGGGUGUUUGCCACAAUCUUCUGUGAGUUGAAGUUAGGGUUUGUGACUGUUUCACUUUCUCAACUAGUAUUCUCUUUUCGUUUAUAUGUAAUUAAGUAACAUUUCGCUGUUUGCGGGCUUUUCUUUUUUGAGAUGGAGUUUCCCUCGUGUGUGUGUGUGUGUG
RNAcentral lists this long non-coding RNA (284 nucleotides) under Homo sapiens (human). RNAcentral describes it as "HSALNT0054257". Lineage: Eukaryota; Metazoa; Chordata; Mammalia; Primates; Hominidae. The record is from RNAcentral.